UCAAAUAAGCUGGUGAUCAGG
RNAcentral lists this non-coding RNA (21 nucleotides) under Caenorhabditis elegans. Lineage: Eukaryota; Metazoa; Nematoda; Chromadorea; Rhabditida; Rhabditidae. The record is from RNAcentral.